RNAcentral lists this ribosomal RNA (433 nucleotides) under uncultured bacterium. Its description in RNAcentral is "partial 16S ribosomal RNA". It matches the Rfam family "Bacterial small subunit ribosomal RNA", at positions 29 to 507 of the family's 1533-position model. The record is from RNAcentral.
AACGAACGCUGGCGGCAUGCCUAACACAUGCAAGUCGAACGAGACCUUCGGGUCUAGUGGCGCACGGGUGCGUAACGCGUGGGAACCUGCCCUUAGGUUCGGAAUAACUCCCCGAAAGGGGUGCUAAUACCGGAUAAUUUCUUCGGACCAAAGAUUUAUCGCCUUUGGAUGGGCCCGCGUUGGAUUAGCUAGUUGGUAGGGUAAAAGCCUACCAAGGCGACGAUCCAUAGCUGGUCUGAGAGGAUGAUCAGCCACACUGGGACUGAGACACGGCCCAGACUCCUACGGGAGGGAGGAGUGGGGAAUAUUGGAGAAUGGGCGAGAGCCUGAUACAGCAAGGCCGCGUGAGUGAUGAAGGCCUUAGGGUUGUAAAGCUGUUUUAACCGGGAUGAUAAUGACGGUACCGGGAGAAUAAGCUCCGGCUAACUACGUG